Molecule: ribosomal RNA, 489 nt
Filed under: Trichoderma harzianum
Lineage: Eukaryota; Fungi; Ascomycota; Sordariomycetes; Hypocreales; Hypocreaceae
Description: eukaryotic LSU rRNA
Rfam family: 5.8S ribosomal RNA (bases 159-312)
Source: RNAcentral
GUUGCCUCGGCGGGAUCUCUGCCCCGGGUGCGUCGCAGCCCCGGACCAAGGCGCCCGCCGGAGGACCAACCAAAACUCUUAUUGUAUACCCCCUCGCGGGUUUUUUUAUAAUCUGAGCCUUCUCGGCGCCUCUCGUAGGCGUUUCGAAAAUGAAUCAAAACUUUCAACAACGGAUCUCUUGGUUCUGGCAUCGAUGAAGAACGCAGCGAAAUGCGAUAAGUAAUGUGAAUUGCAGAAUUCAGUGAAUCAUCGAAUCUUUGAACGCACAUUGCGCCCGCCAGUAUUCUGGCGGGCAUGCCUGUCCGAGCGUCAUUUCAACCCUCGAACCCCUCCGGGGGGUCGGCGUUGGGCAUCGGCCCUCCCUUAGCGGGUGGCCGUCUCCGAAAUACAGUGGCGGUCUCGCCGCAGCCUCUCCUGCGCAGUAGUUUGCACACUCGCAUCGGGAGCGCGGCGCGUCCACAGCCGUUAAACACCCAACUUCUGAAAUGU